AGAUAUGGGAAGAAGCAACAAGAGGAAAUAUUUUCCUGGACCAGGAGGCAAGACAGGUAUGGUCCAGAGACUUUUGCUACUUACACGGCCUAGUGACAACACAUUGAGUGGCCUGUCAAUGGAAUCUUUGUUAAGCCAGGGAAUGAGUCUUCCUAGAACCGUGGGACAAAAUUACCAUGAAAUGCCCCCAAGACACGGUCAAAUAUGUGCCUAUGAAGGGGCCCUGCUGACUGGAAGUUGGCCCUUGCCAGCUGUCUCUACAAAGAUUAAAUCAUGACCACUGCAAGAUGCUGACCUUCAACACCCCCUUGAAAGGAGUUCAAGAGAAACACUAAUGUGAUGAAGCAAUGUCUGGACCUGGUUCUCCUAGCUAGCACCUCAGCAGCUUUCCUACUUCUAUUAACCUUGGGGCCAUAUUAUUUUUAACUGUCUUGUUAAAUUUGUUUCUCCAAGUAGUAGUACGAUAAAAAUAUCCCCUGGCCAACGCCCAGACAACGCUGAAACAAGCUGUCUUAUCAUUCUGUGGACUCAUAUCCCUCCAUAAAUGCACCCCGAGGUCCUCAGGCUACUCUGCCUUUGAGAUCUUACAUGGAAGACCACCCCCAGUGUAAAAAAGCUCAAGGAAGACCACCAACAACUAGCUGACCUGAAGAUGUCCCAACACCUCCGGGCCCUGGAAAAGUCUUCUGCCAUAUCAGAAAGGACAGAAAGGACACCCCCUUUGGGCAGUUGGGUUCAUCCCUAUCAGCCAGGAGAUGAGGUAUGGGUUAAAGUUUAAAAACAAAAACAAAAAUCACUUCAGCCAGUUUGGACAGGCCCUCACACAAUUGUCCUGGCAACCCCGACUGCUGUUAAAGUUACAGGUGUCAUCUCUUGGAUCCACCACACCUGAGUCAAGAAGGCAGUGGCUUCCUGUGAUGAGGACACCUGGAAAGCAGUUUGGGACCCCCCAAAACCUCCUCAAGGUCCAGUUCCAAAGACAACAGCUCUCAUCCACGAAGGACGAGAGCCCUGGUCUAGUCACUCCAGAAGCUGACUAGUCAACACACGGCAGAAGCUUGAGGAUUCUUCAGCCUUGCACUAGCCACACUCUGGCAGCUGACCGAUCAACACACGAUGGAAGCUUGAGGAUUCAGCCAUUGAAAUAUCGAUGGAUUUUCAUUGUCAACCCUGGCCUCUAUCCCUAAUCAGUAUUAUUGCUGUGCUUUUUGUUAUAGGACCAACUAGACUUCCUGGCUGAAGUGGUUUUACAGAAUAGGAGAGGGCUAGACUUACUGACUGGAGAAGGAAAUGGCAACCCACUCCAGUAUUCUUGCCUGGAGAAUCCCAGGGACAGAGGAGCCUGGUGGGCUUCUGUCUACAGGGUUGCACAGAGUCAGACAUGACUGAAGUGACUUAGCAGCAGCAGCAGACUUACUGACAGCUGAAAAGAGAAGACUCUGCCUCUUCUUGAAUGAAAAAUGCUGCUUUUAUGUAAACCAUUCAGAAAUAGUCAGGGACAUGGCCCAACAGCUAAGGGAACAAAUCAUAAAAAGGAGAGAGAAACUAGCUAAUUCCUGGUGUAUUGGAGAAAUACCUGGAGCUGGACAUUGUGGCUUCUCCCUUUAAUAGUUCCUCUCUUCAUGCUUUGUGG
Molecule: long non-coding RNA, 1633 nt
Organism: Bos taurus (domestic cattle)
Lineage: Eukaryota; Metazoa; Chordata; Mammalia; Artiodactyla; Bovidae
Source: Ensembl